AAGUUUCAGCCUUGCGGCCGUACUUCCCAGGUGGCUCGCUUCACGGCUUCCCUACGGCACCGACAACGGUCGCACCGUGGCCGACACCUAGCGAGUAUCGUUUACGGCUAGGACUACCCGGGUAUCUAAUCCGGUUCGUGCCCCUAGCUUUCGUCCCUUGCCGUCAGGUCCGUUCUGGUGAGACGCCUUCGCCACUGGUGGUCCUUCAAGGAUUACAAGAUUUCACCCCUACCCCUGAAGUACCUCUCACCUCUCCCGGCCUCGAGCCGAACAGUAUCUCCUGAAAGCCCAACAGUUGAGCUGCUGGAUUUCUCAAGAGACUUAUCCGGCCGGCUACAGACCCUUUAGACCCAAUAAUAACGGUUACCACUCGAGCCGCCGGUGUUACCGCGGCGGCUGGCACCGGUCUUGCCCGGCCCUUGCUGUGCAAUGCUUUUUAUGCAUCACGACAGCCAGAUUUGUAACCUGGCACUCGAGGUCCCCUUAUCGCCU
This 492-nucleotide ribosomal RNA is filed under the name uncultured archaeon. Its description in RNAcentral is "partial 16S ribosomal RNA". The record is from RNAcentral.